AGUGAACGCUGGCGGUAGGCCUAACACAUGCAAGUCGAACGGCAGCACAGUAAGAGCUUGCUCUUACGGGUGGCGAGUGGCGGACGGGUGAGGAAUACAUCGGAAUCUACUUUUUCGUGGGGGAUAACGUAGGGAAUCUUACGCUAAUACCGCAUACGACCUACGGGUGAAAGCAGGGGAUCUUCGGACCUUGCGCGAUUGAAUGAGCCGCUGUCGGAUUAGCUAGUUGGCGGGGUAAAGGCCCACCAAGGCGACGAUCCGUAGCUGGUCUGAGAGGAUGAUCAGCCACACUGGAACUGGGACGCACUCCAGACUCCUACGGGAGGCAGCAGUGGCGAAUAGUAGACAGUGGACGCAAACCUGAUCCAGCCAUACCGCGUGGGUGAAGGAGGCCUUCGGGUUGUAAAGCCCUUUUGUUGGGAAAGAAAAGCAGCAGGGUAAUACCCCGCUGUUCUGACGGUACCCAAAGAAUAAGCACCGGCUAACUUCGUG
This 492-nucleotide ribosomal RNA is filed under the name uncultured bacterium. Its description in RNAcentral is "partial 16S ribosomal RNA". It matches the Rfam family "Bacterial small subunit ribosomal RNA", at positions 29 to 507 of the family's 1533-position model. The record is from RNAcentral.